Molecule: ribosomal RNA, 206 nt
Filed under: uncultured bacterium
Lineage: Bacteria
Description: partial 16S ribosomal RNA
Rfam family: Bacterial small subunit ribosomal RNA
Source: RNAcentral
CGUGUAGGCGGCCAUUUAAGUCUGGAGUGAAAGUCCUGUUUUAAGGUGGGAAUUGCUUUGGAUACUGGAUGGCUUGAGUGCAGGAGAGGUUAUCGGAAUUCCCGGUGUAGCGGUGAAAUGCGUAGAGAUCGGGAGGAACACCAGUGGCGAAGGCGGGUAACUGGACUGCAACUGACGCUGAGGCGCGAAAGUGUGGGGAGCAAACA